UCCAACUCCUCGGGUCGUCACUCCUCGGCCUCCUUCUGAAGUGGUUGACCUCGAGGAUGACCCGUCUCUCACCGGGGACUUUGAGACUUGCCACCUCGCUCCUGAGCUCGUAAACAAAUACAAAGAGGAGGUCAAGCUUGAGGAUGGGAUGAAGGUCCUCGAGGGCCUUACAGUGAAGGUAAUCUUCGAACUUUUGACUUUAGCCUCGAGUUUAUUGGUCGAGCUUAACACUUGACAUUUUCUUCAUUUUUUCCAGAUGUUGAGUAUAGCUCGAGGACUCUCUCUGCAAGGGCUCGAGGAGGCCAAGAGGGCAGCUGGGGUCGAGACGUCCAUGGCCUCUAAGGACAGCAGGAUUCAAGACCUCGAGGCCCAGGUCGAGGUUUUAUUGAAGGAGCGUGAUGACGCGAGGAGGGAGGCUGCAAAGGCCAGGGAUGACUUGGUUGCAGCAAAGGAUGAGGUCGAGGGCGCGAGGCUCGAGCUCAUCCAGAAGACAGAGGAUUUCGGGCGCGAGCUCGAGGCUGUCAGGGAGAGGGCUUGGGAGGAGUUUAAAACCUCCGAGGACUGCGACAAGAUAAAAGGGGAGUAUGCG
RNAcentral lists this long non-coding RNA (589 nucleotides) under Olea europaea subsp. europaea. Lineage: Eukaryota; Viridiplantae; Streptophyta; Magnoliopsida; Lamiales; Oleaceae. The record is from RNAcentral.